AGUGAACGCUGGCGGUAGGCCUAACACAUGCAAGUCGAACGGCAGCACAGUAAGAGCUUGCUCUUACGGGUGGCGAGUGGCGGACGGGUGAGGAAUACAUCGGAAUCUACUUUUUCGUGGGGGAUAACGUAGGGAAACUUACGCUAAUACCGCAUACGACCUACGGUUGAAAGCAGGGGAUCUUCGUACCUUGCGCGAUUGAAUGAGCCGAUGUCGGAUUAGCUAGUUGGCGGGGUAAAGGCCCACCAAGGCGACGAUCCGUAGCUGGUCUGAGAGGAUGAUAAGCCACACUGGAACUGAGACACGGUCCAGACUCCUACGGGAGGCAGCAGUGGGGAAUAUUGGACAAUGGGCGCAAGCCUGAUCCAGCCAUACCGCGUGGGUGAAGAAGGCCUUCGGGUUGUAAAGCCCUUUUGUUGGGAAAGAAAAGCAGCAGGUUAACACCCCGCUGUUCUGACGGUACCCAAAGAAUAAGCACCGGCUAACUUCGUG
Molecule: ribosomal RNA, 492 nt
Filed under: uncultured bacterium
Lineage: Bacteria
Description: partial 16S ribosomal RNA
Rfam family: Bacterial small subunit ribosomal RNA
Source: RNAcentral